UCAAUCAAUAAGCGGAGGAAAAGAAACCAACAGGGAUUGCCUCAGUAACGGCGAGUGAAGCGGCAAAAGCUCAAAUUUGAAAUCUGGCUGCUUUUUUAGUAGUCCGAGUUGUAAUUUGAAGAAUAGAUCCUUGGAGAGGCGCCUUGUCUAUGUUCCUUGGAACAGGACGUCGCAGAGGGUGAGAAUCCCGUUUGGCGAGGUGUGCUGAUCCGUGUAAGGGCUGUUCGACGAGUCGAGUUGUUUGGGAAUGCAGCUCUAAGUGGGUGGUAAAUUCCAUCUAAAGCUAAAUAUUGGCGAGAGACCGAUAGCGAACAAGUACAGUGAUGGAAAGAUGAAAAGAACUUUGAAAAGAGAGUGAAAAAGUACGUGAAAUUGUUGAAAGGGAAGGUUAUUAGAUCAGACUUGGAUUUUUUAUUAUAUUUGUCUCCUUGUGGGGCAUUCACUAAUUUUUAAUCCAGGCCAGCAUCGAUUGGGAUGGCGGGAAAAAGAGGGAGGAACGUGGCUGUGCAUUUAUGUGCAGUGUUUAUAGCCUUUCUUAAUACCGCCUGUCUCGAUCGAGGACUGCGGCAAAUUUAUUUUUGCCUAGGAUGCUGGCGUAAUGAUCUAUUUGG
RNAcentral lists this ribosomal RNA (611 nucleotides) under Barnettozyma californica. RNAcentral describes it as "eukaryotic LSU rRNA". It matches the Rfam family "Eukaryotic large subunit ribosomal RNA", at positions 38 to 646 of the family's 3401-position model. Lineage: Eukaryota; Fungi; Ascomycota; Saccharomycetes; Phaffomycetales; Phaffomycetaceae. The record is from RNAcentral.